RNAcentral lists this long non-coding RNA (1902 nucleotides) under Polistes dominula (European paper wasp). Its description in RNAcentral is "uncharacterized LOC107066341". The record is from RNAcentral. Lineage: Eukaryota; Metazoa; Arthropoda; Insecta; Hymenoptera; Vespidae.
AAAGAGUAAGAGGAAUAGAAGAAGAAGAAUUUAAUCUUCACGAUUAUUAAAAAAGUAAAGAAAAAGAAAAUUCCAACUCUAAACGCUCACAUCAAGUUGUGAAUAAACAUAUCAUACCUAAUUAAUAUAUUGAGAACAAAGAGGGAUAUCAUAGUUUAAUAUAAGAAUGAAUCUAUACAUAUACAUAUAUAUAUAAAUAUUUAAAAAAAUAUAUAUAUAUAUGUAUAUAUUAUAUGGGGACCGGAAAGUAAUGUAGUUUCUACAAAUGUCCAUUUUUUUUUAAAUAUUUUUUUUAAUCAAAAACCUGAUUGACUUGGAUCAAUUUGCUAUUAAAGAUUGUGCAUAAUAGUUGAAAAAAGUUUGUUGAUCAUGAAGAGUGAUGAUUAACAUUAUUGAUUAAAAAUAACAAAAUUAUUAGAAAUAAAUUUAUUCGUUUGAAUUUAAGAUUAGAAACCAACAUUACUUUCCGCGGUCUUCUUUAUAUAUGAAGAUUAUAAAUCUAUAUACAUAUAUAUAUAUAUAUAUAGAUAUAGAUAUAUAUAUGUAUGUAUAUAUAUAUGCGAAAAAGAAAAAAAAUAGAAUAAUUAUAUAUGCGUUACGUCGAACGAUCGUAGAUCUAUCAUGGUAGAAUAUUUCGGCAACUAUUAUAAGUCGAUCGUUAAAUAAUUCUGUCUCUCUCUCUCUCUCUCUCUCUCUCUUUCCUUUCCUCUAUCUUUCUAUCUUUCUAUAUCUAUCUCUCUUUCACUAUUUCACCUAUUUCCUAAUUCUAAUCGCCGUCGUCGUAGUUAAGAGAAGAUAAAAUGAAAAAAAUAUUGUCAAGAAAAUUCUUUUAUUAACCGAAUUAGAAUCUACCAGAGAUAACAAACAAACAAACAAACAAACAAAAAAAAAAGAAAAAUCAUCUACUCAGAUAAUUAUAUCGUUAUUAUAAUAAUUAUCUGAAGAAAAUAAUGCGCGAAAUAAUUUUAACACGUUGAACGUUACACAAAUUCUUACGGAAAUCUUUGUCAGGUGUCAAAUCACUUGUGUCUGACAUACUUGAACAUGAAGUUCAUUGUCAGUCACUUAUGACUGACGUGAGUCUGAAUGUGAAGUUCAUUGCCAGUCACUUAUGACUGACAUGGUCUGAAUGUGAAGUUCACUUUCAGUCACAUAUGACUGACGUGGGUCUGAACAUGAAGUUCAUUGUCAGUCACAUAUGACUGACGUGGGUCUGAAUGUGAAAUUCAUUGUCAGUCAUAUAUGACUGACGUGAGUCUGAAUGUGAAGUUCAUUUUCAGACACAUAUGACUGACGUGGCAUUCAACGAAUUAAAUGGCCUGAAUGACAAGGUCAGAUAAAAAGGAACAUUGGCAACGGAACGUGUUAAUAAGAGAAAGAUAAUAUUAUCUGAAAAUAAGUACGAGAUAAAAAGAAGUAGGAAAGAAGAUAAAAAAAGAACAGCGCAACUACUAAUGCAUAAACCAUACCACCACCACCACUACCACCACCACCACCACUACCACCACCACCACCACUACUCCUACCUUCCAUAUAGUCGAGAAAGAGAACUAUGAUGAUUGUUAUUACAUUAAUUUCAUUGAAAUAUUAUAUCUAUAUGUGUAAAGUUAUUAUAUAUAGAUAAAACGAAUGCUUUCUUAAAGCGUACGUCGCGUUUCGUCACAUAGCACACACCUACCUAUAUAUAUCUACUAUAAUAUUCAUUUUUUUUUUUUAAUAUGAAUGAAAUGUCUCAGUUAGAUGAUAAUUAUACAUAUUACAUAUAUAUAUCUAUAUAUAUAUAUAUAUAUAAAAAAAAUAAAUCAUGAUGACGAUCAUGAUGUUAGAUGGCGUGCCAAGCGAGACGGGAAUUGUUUCUUAAAACAAAACAAAAUAAAACAAAAGAAAAAAAAAGUAAAUAAA